This 270-nucleotide ribosomal RNA is filed under the name uncultured archaeon. RNAcentral describes it as "partial 16S ribosomal RNA". It matches the Rfam family "Archaeal small subunit ribosomal RNA", at positions 477 to 747 of the family's 1478-position model. The record is from RNAcentral.
CAGCACCUCAAGUGGUCAGGAUGAUUAUUGGGCCUAAAGCAUCCGUAGCCGGCGCUGUAAGUUUUCGGUUAAAUCUGUAUGCUCAACAUACAGGCUGCCGGGAAUACUGCAGAGCUAGGGAGUGGGAGAGGUAGACGGUACUCGGUAGGAAGGGGUAAAAUCCUUUGAUCUAUUGAUGACCACCUGUGGCGAAGGCGGUCUACCAGAACACGUCCGACGGUGAGGGAUGAAAGCUGGGGGAGCAAACCGGAUUAGAGACCCGCGUAGUCC